GACGAACGCUGGCGGCGUGCUUAACACAUGCAAGUCGAACGGAAAGGCCCUGCUUGCAGGGUACUCGAGUGGCUAACGGGUGAGUAACACGUGGGUGAUCUGCCCUGCACUUCGGGAUAAGCCUGGGAAACUGGGUCUAAUACCGGAUAGGUGCCAUUGUUAGUGUGAUGUUUUGAAAGUUUUUUCGGUGUAAGAUGAGCUCGCGGCCUAUCAGCUUGUUGGUGGGGUAAUGGCCUACCAAGGCGGCGACGGGUAGCCGGCCUGAGAGGGUGGACGGCAACAUUGGGACUGAGAGACGGCCCAGACGCCUACGUGAGGCAGCAGGGGGGAAUAUUGCACAAUGGGCGCAAGCCAGAUGCGGCGACGCCCCGUGGGGGAUGACGGGCUUCGGGUUGUAAACGCCUUUCGCUAGGGAAGAAGCUUUUUGUGACGGUACCUAGACAAGAAGCACCGGCUAACUACGUG
RNAcentral lists this ribosomal RNA (465 nucleotides) under uncultured bacterium. Its description in RNAcentral is "partial 16S ribosomal RNA". It matches the Rfam family "Bacterial small subunit ribosomal RNA", at positions 28 to 507 of the family's 1533-position model. The record is from RNAcentral.